UACGUAGGGUGCGAGCGUUGUCCGGAAUUAUUGGGCGUAAAGAGCUCGUAGGCGGUGUGUCGCGUCGGCCGUGAAAACCUGGGGCUUAACUCUGGGCGUGCGGUCGAUACGGGCAUCACUGGAGUUCGGCAGGGGAGACUGGAAUUCCUGGUGUAGCGGUGAAAUGCGCAGAUAUCAGGAGGAACACCGGUGGCGAAGGCGGUUCUCUGGGCAUGUCCUGACGCUGAGGCGCGAAAGCGUGGGGAGCAAACAGG
Molecule: ribosomal RNA, 254 nt
Filed under: uncultured bacterium
Lineage: Bacteria
Description: partial 16S ribosomal RNA
Rfam family: Bacterial small subunit ribosomal RNA
Source: RNAcentral